Papio anubis (olive baboon) is the source of this 64-nucleotide non-coding RNA. Lineage: Eukaryota; Metazoa; Chordata; Mammalia; Primates; Cercopithecidae. The record is from Rfam.
ACAGGCACUUGGCACCUUUAUGAUACCAUACAGGGAAGUCACAGGGCAGUCCCUGAGGGUCUGU